AGCUUAAUUUCUCACAACAAAAAACUCAUUUCAUCAAUCACUUCAAAUCAUUUUCUUUUGGGAAAUGGCUUCUAAUGUUAAAGCAUCAACUGCUCUUGUUCUUUCUCUUAACCUUCUUUUCUUUGCUUUUGUAAGCUCUCACAACGUGGAAAACCCCGUUUUUAUUCAUCCCGGAGAUGUGUACCAUAAUGGCAGAAUCACUCAUGGUCAUCCCGGUACAUGCAAUCCCCUAAAUCUCGGUGUAUGCCUUGGCCUGUUGGAUUUGGUGGGUGUUAGUGUCGGAAACGUACCUACAGAACCAUGUUGCAGCGUGAUUCAAGGAUUGGUCGAUCUUGAAGCUGCAGUUUGCCUUUGCACUGCUGUCAGAGCCAAUGUGUUGGGCAUUCCCAUCCACCUUCCUAUUUCAUUGAGCCUCUUACUCAAUAAAUGUGGAAGAGAAGUAGCUACGGAAUACAUUUGCAGCCCUUAAAUAGCCUUCUUCCCCACAUUCUUUGCUUUAAUUGUGUCUUGAAGUUUCCGUUUUCUAUUUGUUCCAUUUUUUAUGUUUCCUUUCUGAUUAAGUCUUUGUAUUGUUGCUCAUGAGUUGAGGACGGCUUUCAACCUUCCCUUUCAUUUUUAUUCUAAAUAAAAUGAGAAUAUUAUUUGAACAAAAAAUCCUAUUUUAUCAUAAUGAGUUGGAAGGGGUGUUUUUAGGGGGAAAAAUCAUAAUUAAUAUUUUCAACAUUAUUUUUAAUGUUAUAUGACUACCAAGUGGAUUUUUUAUUUCAAGGUGUCAAACCAGUGAAUUUAAUAGAAGAAUUUUAACAGCUGUGACUGUUGGACUUGAAUUUCUAUAUUCAUAAAAUACAGAGAUUAGAUUCCUCAAAAUACAAGUAGGAGACUAACCUCCUAAUGCACGAAGCGUACAUAUACUUAGAGCAUAUUUUAACCUCCCAAUCAAUUAAUCAAUCCAACGCGAAGCGUGGAAACCAUACCAGUUAGUGUAAAAAUAUUGAUCGCGUAUUUUUAUAUUUCAAUUUCUUUCCUAAAUACUCAGAUAUACAAAUUUUACUUGAAACUCUAUUCUAAUGUGCAAUGUUAUACAUAAACUUUGAUUUUGUGUAAUUUGGUUUCAUCCAAUUUUUAUAAAUCUCUAACACCAUUAGCAAUGCAACACCAUUUUAUAUGUAUAUGUUGCAUCCACAAAUAUUUAUAUUUAUAUUUAUGUGAUGUAAAAUAAAAUAAAUCGAUGUAUUUAUUUCUUUAAAUACAUAUAGUUGAAUUAAAAUCAAAGUUUCAACUAUACAUUUGAACCGCGAUUAAAUUUUCGUGCGCAUAAUUUCACCAAAUUAAAGUCGGUGUAUCAAAGUUCACAUUCAAUCAAAUUUCAUGUACAAUUUUGAGUUUUAUCCCUUUAUUUAGAGACCAGCUACAUUACUUAUUUCAAGUGUUUUACUGAGUUGGUGUGUAAUGUGGGUUCCUAUUUAAGCCAUCAAUUAAAGAAAGAAAAAUGCAUGUGUUGAGCCGAGGGACAGAAAACAUAAAAAAUGGUAAAUGCAGUUGUAGCCGUCUAGGUAAGUUUCUCGUUUUUUUUUCUUUUUCCACCUAACUAUUAAAACUUAAAAAAUGGUCAUUCAACUGUUAGACUUCUCCUUUUAUGGUCACCAGCCAUUAAAUGGCUAAUGGGAAGAUGAUGUAGCGGAUUAUAGAAUUGACAUAAAAGAAACUUUAAACCUCAACCUUUAUACACCGUGCCAAAUUAGUGUUGAUUCUAAAAAAUUAACCCUCAAUGUUUUCACAUUGUGUAAUUUGGUCUUCUUCUUCUUUUUCAAACUUUCAAUUCUUUGUGACCCUUUCACUAAAAAGCUAAAAAAGAAUAUAAAUCCAUCAACUAAAUUUGAUCGGAGAUACAACAAAAACACUCGAAAAUCAAAGAUGAUAAUUUUUCAUCUUUUCUUUCUCUCAAAAUUAGCCCUCAAUGUCACAAAUAAAAGUAAAAUUGCGAGAGAGAGAGAGAGAGAGAGCUAGAGACCUAAUUACACAACGUUUACAUGUUGAAGGUAAAGAUUUUUGGGAUCAAGACUAUAUUGACACAAUGUAGAAAUGUUCAGGGUUAAAGUUGCUAUUACGCCAACUGUAAAAGAUGUCAAGUUAUCUUUUCGUUAAUAAUUUAACAGCUGGUGACCAGAAAAGAAAAUUUCGAAUAAUUGGGUGACCAGAAAAGAAAAUCUCGAAUAGUUGGGUGAUCAUUUUGUAACUUUGCGUUGUUGGGUGACCAUGACAACUCUCAUAUUUAGAGUUAUUUUAGUAUAGUUUUUUUUAUAGAAUUUUAGGGGGUAAGUUGAGCAUUUAGGUUAAAUUUUAGUACAUUUUAUAGUUUUUCAGAUUAAUUAUAUUUUAUUUGAGUUUUAUCAUUUUUAGAGUUAGUUUGGAUUCGUGUGCUAUCUUCCUCUCUAUAUUGUAAGUUUCGGAUGAAGAACGGGGGCCUUGGAGCACGGGGUAAAAUAUAGUGAAGAGAAAUCAUCUGCUCCACCAAACUUGAUUCAGUGUGGUGGAGCACAAUCUUCAAUUAAGAAUUCCAGAUAGCAAGCAGCCCACUCCACUGCGAAUUCUACGUCUAGUGGAGCCAAGCGAUUAAUACCCUAAAAAUAGAGGGUGACGUGAUUAAGCGGAAUAGGAGAGGAAAAUGAGUGAAAAAAAAAAGAACUUGGAGGCCAAGGAACAAUUCUCUUACACUAAGGGGAGCUUCAACCUUGCAAAGACGAGAAGAAAAAGAGAUCUGGAGCGCUUGGCUUUAGUUCGACGAUUAUUUUUAUCUCUAGAUUAUUUUAUUUUUACUUUUUUUUCAAAGCAAGUUUGUUUUGAGUUUCUUCUUGUGAUGUUUUCUCAACGCAACAAGAAAUAAAAUCUAUUUUCUUGGAAUGAUGAUGAAUCAUAUUUUUUAGUUAAUUAAAUAUUUUCUCUUCAACUGUUUCAAUCUCUGUUAAUUAUUUAUUCAGCUUUAUGCUUAUUUACUCUGUUUGUCCGGCCACCAAGUCGUAUUAAUUUGGUGGUCUUGAUUUGUCGUAGAAGAGAAAAAUUAAGGUUUAGGUCUAGACUAAAUAGAUUAGGAUUAACUAUAGUAGCGCUGACGAAUGAGUUAAUUUACAGCUAGGAUAGGAAUAUACCUGAUGCGCCAAUCAACCCAAUAAGCUUUUCCGUAGUGGCGUUGCUCGACUUGCCUAGCACAAGAAUAUAGCUGGUGGGGGAGGGGGAUUAACUUAGCUAGAUAUUGGGAGGGUCUAGUUAAUGCCACAGAAUCAUAGGUUAAUAAUUGUAUAGACUGAACAAUUGAAUGAGAGAUAAUUGAUUAACAUAAUUAGGUAAAUUAGAGUUCCAAGAUCUUUCAAAAUCGAUUGAGAAACUUAGUAAUUUUCAUUUUUUUUAUGUAGUUUAAUAAAAUCUCUUUAAUUCCUUUAGCUUAACUUCAGUAGUAAUUAGAAUUUCUUUUUUUGAUCCAGAUUGGAAAAAUUUGGAUAAUUGAUAUUUAGCAGCUUAAAAUUAAAUUUGGCCCUCAUAGGAAGGGCAUCAUCUUAUCACUGUAUUACUUGAUCAAUACGUGCACUUACAUAAUAAAGUUUCCCACAUAAAACCAGAAAAGAAAUUAACUAGUAAUGGAGUGGCUACCUAUAUAGUUUACCACACCAUUAGUCCUGUUGAGCAGCUCAAAGAUUUUAACAUAUAUAUAUAUAUAUAUAUAUAUAUAUAUAUUUAUGACAGAAACCUUAAUUAGGCCAUGCAUGUCUGCAAAUAUAAUAUAUAUAUACAUAUACUAACAACGUUGUACUCAUGUUACUAAUUAAAUCGAUUAAAGAUGCCUUGUGAUAAAAAAUUCAUCCAUCAUAGACGUGGGAGAAUUUUGCCAGCCAAACAGAUACUCCAAGAUCCAAGAUUCUCCAACUAAUCAGACUUCGUGCCUCCCAUUUUCUAGUUCUAAAAAAGCUUCAAAGUUCAUACAUUCCAGCUAUAAAAACCCUUUGCUCCCUUCGCCACCUUCAUCGGCAGUUCCAGCUUAAUUUCUCACAACAAAAAACUCAUUUCAUCAAUCACUUCAAAUCAUUUUCUUUUGGGAAAUGGCUUCUAAUGUUAAAGCAUCAACUGCUCUUGUUCUUUCUCUUAACCUUCUUUUCUUUGCUUUUGUAAGCUCUCACAACGUGGAAAACCCCGUUUUUAUUCAUCCCGGAGAUGUGUACCAUAAUGGCAGAAUCACUCAUGGUCAUCCCGGUACAUGCAAUCCCCUAAAUCUCGGUGUAUGCCUUGGCCUGUUGGAUUUGGUGGGUGUUAGUGUCGGAAACGUACCUACAGAACCAUGUUGCAGCGUGAUUCAAGGAUUGGUCGAUCUUGAAGCUGCAGUUUGCCUUUGCACUGCUGUCAGAGCCAAUGUGUUGGGCAUUCCCAUCCACCUUCCUAUUUCAUUGAGCCUCUUACUCAAUAAAUGUGGAAGAGAAGUAGCUACGGAAUACAUUUGCAGCCCUUAAAUAGCCUUCUUCCCCACAUUCUUUGCUUUAAUUGUGUCUUGAAGUUUCCGUUUUCUAUUUGUUCCAUUUUUUAUGUUUCCUUUCUGAUUAAGUCUUUGUAUUGUUGCUCAUGAGUUGAGGACGGCUUUCAACCUUCCCUUUCAUUUUUAUUCUAAAUAAAAUGAGAAUAUUAUUUGAACAAAAAAUCCUAUUUUAUCAUAAUGAGUUGGAAGGGGUGUUUUUAGGGGGAAAAAUCAUAAUUAAUAUUUUCAACAUUAUUUUUAAUGUUAUAUGACUACCAAGUGGAUUUUUUAUUUCAAGGUGUCAAACCAGUGAAUUUAAUAGAAGAAUUUUAACAGCUGUGACUGUUGGACUUGAAUUUCUAUAUUCAUAAAAUACAGAGAUUAGAUUCCUCAAAAUACAAGUAGGAGACUAACCUCCUAAUGCACGAAGCGUACAUAUACUUAGAGCAUAUUUUAACCUCCCAAUCAAUUAAUCAAUCCAACGCGAAGCGUGGAAACCAUACCAGUUAGUGUAAAAAUAUUGAUCGCGUAUUUUUAUAUUUCAAUUUCUUUCCUAAAUACUCAGAUAUACAAAUUUUACUUGAAACUCUAUUCUAAUGUGCAAUGUUAUACAUAAACUUUGAUUUUGUGUAAUUUGGUUUCAUCCAAUUUUUAUAAAUCUCUAACACCAUUAGCAAUGCAACACCAUUUUAUAUGUAUAUGUUGCAUCCACAAAUAUUUAUAUUUAUAUUUAUGUGAUGUAAAAUAAAAUAAAUCGAUGUAUUUAUUUCUUUAAAUACAUAUAGUUGAAUUAAAAUCAAAGUUUCAACUACACAUUUGAACCGCGAUUAAAUUUUCGUGCGCAUAAUUUCACCAAAUUAAAGUCGGUGUAUCAAAGUUCACAUUCAAUCAAAUUUCAUGUACAAUUUUGAGUUUUAUCCCUUUACUUAGAGACCAGCUACAUUACUUAUUUCAAGUGUUUUACUGAGUUGGUGUGUAAUGUGGGUUCCUAUUUAAGCCAUCAAUUAAAGAAAGAAAAAUGCAUGUGUUGAGCCGAGGGACAGAAAACAUAAAAAAUGGUAAAUGCAGUUGUAGCCGUCUAGGUAAGUUUCUCGUUUUUUUUUCUUUUUCCACCUAACUAUUAAAACUUAAAAAAUGGUCAUUCAACUGUUAGACUUCUCUUUUUAUGGUCACCAGCCAUUAAAUGGCUAAUGGGAAGAUGAUGUAGCGGAUUAUAGAAUUGACAUAAAAGAAACUUUAAACCUCAACCUUUAUACACCGUGCCAAAUUAGUGUUGAUUCUAAAAAAUUAACCCUCAAUGUUUUCACAUUGUGUAAUUUGGUCUUCUUCUUCUUUUUCAAACUUUCAAUUCUUUAUGACCCCUUCACUAAAAAGCUAAAAAAGAAUAUAAAUCCAUCAACUAAAUUUGAUCGGAGAUACAACAAAAACACUCGAAAAUCAAAGAUGAUAAUUUUUCAUCUUUUCUUUCUCUCAAAAUUAGCCCUCAAUGUCACAAAUAAAAGUAAAAUUGCGAGAGAGAGAGAGAGAGAGAGAGCUAGAGACCUAAUUACACAACGUUUACAUGUUGAAGGUAAAGAUUUUUGGGAUCAAGACUAUAUUGACACAAUGUAGAAAUGUUCAGGGUUAAAGUUGCUAUUAUGCCAACUGUAAAAGAUGCCAAGUUAUCUUUUUGUUAGUAAUUUAACAGCUGGUGACCAGAAAAGAAAAAUUUGAAUAAUUGGGUGACCAGAAAAGAAAAUCAUGAAUAGUUUGGUGAUCAUUUUGUAACUUUGCGUAGUUGGGUGACCAUAAUAACUCUCAUAUUUAGAGUUAUUUUAGUAUAGUUUUUUUUAUAGAAUUUUAGGGGGUAAAUUGAGCAUUUUGGUUAAAUUUUAGUAUAUUUUAUUUGAGUUUUAUCAUUUUCAGAGUUAGUUUGGAUUCGUGUGCUAUCUUCCUCUCUAUAUUGUAAGUUUUGGAUGAAGAACGGGGGGCAUGGAGCACAGGGUAAAAAAUAGUGAAGAGAAAUCAUCUGCUCCACCAAACUUGAUUCAGUGUGGUGGAGCACAAUCUUCAAUUAAGAAUUUCAGAUAGCAAGCAGCCCACUCCACUGCGAAUUCUACGUCUGGUGGAGCCAAGCGAUUAAUACCCUAAAAAUAGAGGGUGAUGUGAUUAAGCGGAAUAGGAGAGGAAAAUGGGUGAAAAAAAAUAACUUGGAGGCCAAGGAACAAUUCUCUUACACUAAGGGGAGCUUCAACCUUGCAAAGACGAGAAGAAAAAGAGAUCUGGAGCGCUUGGCUUUAGUUCGACGAUUUUUUUUAUCUCUAGAUUAUUUUAUUUUUACUUUUUUUUCAAAGCAAGUUUGUUUUGUGUUUCUUCUUGUGAUGUUUUCCCAACGCAACAAGAACUAAAAUCUAUUUUCUUGGAAUGAUGAUGAAUCAUAUUUUUUAGAUAAUUAAAUAUUUUCUCUUCAACUGUUUCAAUCUCUAUUAAUUAUUUAUUCAGCUUUAUGCUUAUUUACUCUGUUUGUCUGGCCACCAAGUCGUAUUAAUUUGGUGAUCUUGAUUUGUCGUAAAAGAGAAAAAUUAAGGUUUAUGUCUAGACUAAAUAGAUUAGGAUUAACUUUAGUAGCGCUGACGAAUGAGUUAAUUUACAGCUAGGAUAGGAAUAUACCUGAUGCGCAAAUCAACCCAAUAUGCUUUUCCAUAGUGGCGUUGCUCGAUUUGCCUAGCAUAGGAAUAUAGCUGGUGGGGGAGGGGGAUUAACUUAGCUAGAUACUGGGAGGGUCUAGUUAAUGCCACAGAAUCAUAGGUUAAUAAUUGUAUAGACUGAACAAUUGAAUGAGAGAUAAUUGAUUAACUUAAUUAGGUAAAUUAGAGUUCCAAGAUCUUUCAAAAUCGAUUGAGAAACUUAGUAAUUUUCAUUUUUUAUGUAGUUUAAUAAAAUCUCUUUAAUUCCUUUAGUUUAACUUAAGUAGUUAUUAGAAUUUCUUUUCUUGAUCCAGAUUGGAUAAAAUUCGAUAAUUGAUAUUUAGCAGCUUAAAAUUAAAUUUGGUCCUCAUAGGAAGGGCAUCAUCUUAUCACUGUAUUACUUGAUUAAUACGUGCACUUACAUAAUAAAGUUUCCCACAUAAAACCAGAAAAGAAAUUAACUAGUAAUGGAGUGACUACCAAUAUAGUUUACCACACCAUUAGUCCUGUUGAGCAGCUCAAAGAUUUUAACAUAUAUAUAUUUAUGACAGAAAUCUUAAUUAGGCCAUGCAUCUCUGCAAAUAUAAUAUACAUACAUAUAUAUACAUUACUAACAACGUUGUACUCAUGUUACUAAUUAAAUCGAUUAAAGAUGCCUUGUGAUAAAGAUAUCAUCCAUCAUAGACGUGGGAGAAUUUUAUAUAUAUAUAGUUGCCAGCCAAACAGAUACUCCAAGAUCCAAGAUUGUUCAACUAAUCAGACUUCGUGCCUCUCAUUUUCUAGUUCUAAAAAAGCUUCAAAGUUCAUACAUUCCAGCUAUAAAAACCCUUUGCUCCCUUUGCCACCUUUAUCGGUAGUUCCAGCUUAAUUUCUCUAAACAAAACACUCAUUUCAUCAAUCACUUCAAAUCAUUUUCUUUUGGAAAAUGGCUUCUAAUGUUAAAGCAUCAACUGCUAUUGUUCUUUCUCUUAACCUUCUUUUCUUUGCUUUUGUAAGCUCUCACAACGUGGAAAACCCCGUUUUUAUUCAUCACGGAGAUGUGUACCAUAAUGGCAGAAUCACUCAUGGUCAUCCCGGUACAUGCAAUCCCCUAAAUAUCGGUGUAUGCCUUGGCCUGUUGGAUUUGGUGGGUGUUAGUGUCGGAAACGUACCUACAGAACCAUGUUGCAGCGUAUUAAGAUUCUCUUUUCUUGUAGUUUUCCAGAAUGGAAACUAUCUUGAUUAAUUUCAGAGAAGCAUUCACGUAUUUAAUACAUGUAGGAGAGAGUAACUGACUAACCUACUGUAACAGAAACUACUAACAACUCUAACUAUUAACUAACUGUAUUAACUACUAUUAUCCCUAACAUGCCCCGUACAUAACAGUUUUCUAUUUUCAAUGAAGACUUUUCCCACUAGUACUAACAACACACAGGUGAUCGCGAAACUUAGAGAACAUUCCUGCUGACAGAGGCUUUGUUAGUAUAUCUGCAUUCUGGUCAGACGCAGAAAUAUGCUUUACAUGAAGUACGCCAUCUGUAACUUUCUCUCUGACGAAGAAUAAGUCAAUUCCGAAAUGCUUAAACUUGGAGUGCAUGACUGGAUUUCCUGCAACAGCAACUGCUGCUAAGCUGUCGCACCAUACCACGGCCUUCGUUGGUACUAAGACACCCAACUCAGUCAACAACGCCCGAAUCCACACAACUUCGGUAGUGACAAGAGCCACACUCCUGUACUCAGCUUCUACUGUUGAUCUCGAAAUAACUUGUUGCUUUCUGGAACUCCAAGAGAUUGGAUUCCCUCCGAGAAACACACAAAAACCCGAUGUUGACCUCCGAUCAUCCACAUCUGAGCCCCAGCUGGCAUCCGAAUAUCCCUCAAGUAAGAACCUUGAAGUUCGGGUGAAUUUCAACCCAUAGUCCAAAGUUCCUUGUAAAUACCUUAAAAUUCUCUUUACUGCCUUAAAGUGUAAAUCCGAAGGUUUGUGCAUAAACUGGCAAACCUUAUUCACUGAAUAUGCUAUGUCAGGCCUAGUGAUGACAACAUAUUGGAGGGCACCAACAAUACUUCUGUAUUGACGCUCAUCUUCAAUAGGACUUCCUUCAUAGGCUGACAAUCGGCUCGUGGUGACCAUAGGCGUUGGUAAACCCUUAGCUUUAUCCAUAAACACUUUCUAAAGGAGAUCAGCAACAUACUUUUUCUGAGUAAGAAACACUCCUUGAGUAGUAUAACUCACUUCUAUGCCUAAGAAAUAAUGCAGCUUGCCUAGGUCUUUGAGGGAAAACUUCUCAUUUAGCUGAGUGACAAACUCAUCUAUGAAUACGUCAUCAUUCCCUGUGAUGAUAAUGUCAUCCAUGUAAACUAACACAUAAACCAUCCGAGAGCCCGACUGUAGAAUAAACAAAGAACUGUCAGCUUUGGAUGCUUUAAACUAAAAAUCAACCAAAAACUCUCGCAACUUGUAAAACCACGCCCUUGGUGCCUGUUUGAGACCCUACAGGGCCUUUCGAAGUCGACAUACUAGCUGUUGACCAUUGGCGCCUUGCUGUUCAAACCCCGGAGGCUACAACAUGUAGAUUUCUUCUCGAAGGUCUCCAUUCAAGAACGCAUUAUUUAUGUCAACUUGUCGAAGCGACCAGUUGAAAGAGACUGCCAACGCAAGGACCACUCUUAUGGUAGUAGGCUUCACUAUAGGGCUGAAGAUUUUGCGGAAAUCUAUUCCAGCUUCUUACAAGUACCCCUUAACCACAAGUCGACCUUUAUGCCUCGCAAUAGACCCAUCUGCAUGUCGUUUGAGCUUGAAAAUCCAUUUGCAGCCAAUUGCUUUACGACCAGCUGGUAAUGGCAUGAGAUCCCACGUAUGGUUCGCAAGUAAGGCUCGAUACUCCUCCUGAGCAGCGUUCGUCCAAGUAGUACUCUGAAAAGCCUCAACUAUGGUCAACGGUUCCUUCUCUUCUAAACAUGAAGAAAACACCUUUGGCUUAAAAAUCCCGCUUUUGGCACGAGUCUGCAUGGGAUGGACGUUCAUAUUUUGUGGAACCUCCACACUGGUCUCAUGCUGAACACUUGAAUAAGACCCAUCAGCUUGUGACUCAACAACUACAGGAGAAAUUUGAGGUGAGUUGGUAGAUGAAAAACCUUGAUGGGAAGUCUCAGAAGCCAUCCGAUUGGAGCCUACAUGAGAUUGACCAUGAGAAUUCUCAGAAGAAGACCGAUUAACAACUACAGGAAGUAUGGUCUGGCCAAGCAGGUUUUGUGUAGAGGUAACUGAAGAUCGAGAACAAAAACCAUGCUGAAAAGGAAAGAGCUUCUCAUCAAAGCGAACAUGACGAGACAGAUACACUCGGCCAUCAGCAGCUAAACACCUAUAACCCUUUGUAUUAGGGGCACUGCCAAGAAACACACAAAGUUGUGAUCUGAACUGCAACUUGUGCUUUUGAAAAACUCGUAAGUCAGGAAAACAUGCACACCCAAACACUCGAAGCAGGUCAUAGCUUAGCUUAUGUUUGUGAAGUUUUUCAUACGGAUUGACAUUGCGCAGCACGGGAGUAGGCAGUCUAUUCGUCAAAUGAGCAGCAUGUGCAAAUGCAAAAUACCAGAAAUUUAAAGGAAUACCAGACUGAGCUAGGAGUGACAGUCCCAUGUCGACAACUUGGCGAUGCUUCCUCUCAGCAACUCCAUUUUGCUCCGAAGUGUAUGGACAAGUGGCUCGAUGUACGACGCCCAAGCGAGAGAGUUCCUUUUUCAGACCACGAUACUCUCCACCCAGUCCGUUUGCAACACCUUGAUAGAACACCCAAACUGCACUUUGACCAUUUGAUGAAAAUCAAAAAAACAACGAACCACCUCAGACUUGUUCUUAAGAAAGUAAAUCCACGUGUAUCGGCUAUACAUAUCAACAAAAGAAACAUAGUAACAAAAACCAUUUGAUGUCAUACAAGCUGGUCCCCAUACAUCUGAGACCACUAGCUCAAAAGGAAAGGAAUACACUGUCUUGGAUGGAGAAAAAGGAAUCUUGUGAGCUUUGCCUAGUUGACACGAACUACACAAACUAGGUAAGCUAGUCUGAUCAAAACGAACUUUACAAGACUUUAAUACAUGAUCCAACACUUUGGAACAUGGAUGGCCAAGUCGAUUAUGCCAUAAGGCAUUCGACGAGAGUUGAACAUUAUUGAGCAAACUGGAACUAUGCUUUGAGAGAGAGUGAUUAGAACCGACAGCAGACUUGGAAAAUUGAAACCGAUAAAGACCUUCAUGCAUGUGGCCCUCGAGAAGAAUCAUCCCUGUCUGUAUGUCCUUCACAAAGCCGAGAAACGGGUGAAACUCAAAAUAAACCCCAUUGUCUUUUGCAAAUUGGCCUAUAGACAUCAAGUUUUUACACACUGUAGGUACAUGCAAUACAUUCUGAAGAUGUAAGAGCCUGGAACCUGCUAAAACACUAGAGGACCCUACAUGAUCAAUAGAAACAGGCUUACCAUUCCCCAUGAGAACACGACCUGUACCUGUAUAGGGAGAGACAUUCACAAGGGUUGACCUUUCAGGCGUAAUAUGAUUUGUCGCACCCGAAUCCGGAUACCAAGUUUGAUUAGAUUGAAUUGUGGUCUACGAAGAUGGUGAUUGUGAACACGACCCUAUGCACGAACCCAUAAACGAGCAAACUAUUGCAAGAGGAGUGAAGUCACGAGACUGAUGAAAGUUAACCGACGGAGUUUGACCAGAGAAAUUUUUAUCGAACCGAUGGUAGCAGUCUUGAACCACAUGUCCAAUCUUUCCACACAGUUGACACUGUGGUCUGGACCAAGACCAUCCUCGACCACCUCUAGUUCUCCCACGCGACCAUCCUCGACCAGCACCAGUAUCUCCUUGUUUAGAAGACUGAGAAUAAGUCGACUUGGACCCUUCUCCAGAGCGACCUUGAAACUUAGUCACCAAAUUUGCUUGUACAGAAGUUUCUGUCAUCAUCUCUAAAUGUCUAGCCUUACAAUCAAGAAGCAUGUUAGUGAGUAAAUCCAAAGAAAUUGGAGUCGCAGAAGCAAACACUCGAACUGACUCAUACUCCAUAGGGAGACCAGAUAAAAUAACACUUGUUCUCUUUCCGUUACCUCACUGCCAACUGCUGCUAAACUGUCACUUAACUUUUUGACUUUGGCCAGAUACUCUUUAAUGGUUAAAUUGGCUUUCUCGAUAGAAUACAAAGCAUGACGCAAAUUCCCCACCUUAAAAUUUGAAAAGGUUCCAAACCGCUUUUCAAUCGUAGUCCAAAGAUCAACACUCGUUUUUGCUGUUGUGAGAUGAACCAUGAUUUCAUCAGUGGCUGUCGAUAGAAGCCACGACGCUAAACAUUUGUCCUGCUUCCUAAAAGCAAGAAACGCAGGAUUAUCCAACAUCUACCCAUCAACGCCUGCAAUAACUGCUGGAGGAGCUGAAACAGUCCCCAACACAAAACCUUCAAGGCUGUACCCUUCAAGGAUGAGUAACAAUUGAUGCUUCCACAGCAAAAAAUUAUGAUCAGCCAAUUUGAUUGUAUCAUGUUUAGCAAAGUACUGUACUGUCGAUAGUCCAUCAUUGCCAAGAUGCGCCGAAUGAAGCUCUUCUCCAGAACCGGUAGAACCACGUGGAGUCUCUAGUCCAGGAACUGGCUCCGUGGCCAUGAAGAAAAAUAAUGAAGAAAAACAACCACAAAAACCUUUAAAAAAAACUUAGGCUCUUGAUACCAUAUUAAGAUUCUAUUUCCUUGUAGUUUCCAGAAUGGAAACUAUCUUGAUUAAUUUCAGAGAAGCAUUCACGUAUUUAAUACAUGUAGGAGAGAGUGACUGACUAACCUACUGUAACAGAAACUACUAACAACUCUAACUAUUAACUAACUGCAUUAACUACUAUUAUCCCUAAGACAGCGUGAUUCAAGGAUUGGUCGAUCUUGAAGCUGCAAUUUGCCUUUGCACUGCUGUCAGAGCCAAUGUGUUGGGCAUUCCCAUCCACCUUCCUAUUUCAUUGAGCCUCUUACUCAAUAAAUGUGGAAGGGAAGUAGCUACGGAAUGCAUUUGUAGCCCUUAAAUAGCCUUCUUCCCCAUUCUUUGCUUUAAUUGUGUCUUGAAGUUUCCGUUUUCUAUUUGUUCCAUUUUUUAUGUUUCCUUUCUGAUUAAGUCUUUGUAUUGUUGCUCAUGAGUUGAGGAAGGCUUUCAACCUUCCCUUUCAUUUUUAUUCUAAAUAAAAUGAGAAUAUUAUUUGAACAAAAAAUCCUAUUUUAUCAUAAUGAGUUGGAAGGGGUGUUUUUAGGGGGAAAAA
Molecule: long non-coding RNA, 13428 nt
Filed under: Gossypium raimondii (Peruvian cotton)
Lineage: Eukaryota; Viridiplantae; Streptophyta; Magnoliopsida; Malvales; Malvaceae
Description: long non-coding RNA (GRAI_LNC009554)
Source: RNAcentral